CCUCUUCAAUUUUUCAACAACACACGUUUCUCCACCACCCCACUCCUUUGUGAAGAAAACAUUAUUGAUAUACUCCACAUUUGUCUUUUUCUAUGAUUGUUAGAGAAUUCAGCAAGCAGAGGAAGCAUAGGAAGCCUUGCAAGAACAGCUUCUCUCCAUUUCAGUUAUAGAAAAUAGAGUGAUGUUUAUAGAAAAAUCUACAACCCUUGCUUCUAUCCAAGUUUGGUAAGAGUAAAUUAAGCAAAGCAUUGCGUCUCUUCUAGGUUCGUUAGAGGAGAAUCAACAGAUAUAGAUACUCAGGGCUCUGUGCUCCAUCUUCUAAAAGGUAAUUUUGGUAUCCCUGCUUGAUAGCAUAGCAACAAAAUCAACUUCCUUUUCUUAUUGCUCUUUGUAACCUUGCUGCGGUUGAUAAUAUUCGGACGCGUUGUUGGAGUUCCCAACUCUUCAAGCCGUGGCAUGUGUUAAAAGAAGAACUCCAGACUUCUCUCGCCACUACUCUUCACUUAUCGCUCAUCAAGAUUGCUCAUCUGUUGGUCUAGCUCUUGUCAAUUGCUGCUUGAUAAAAAAAUUAUGCAUUCUCAGAGUGCUCUUCUCAUCAAAGCUCAAGAAUUCCAAUAUGAAUCUAAUGUUCCGACAGUACAGAGCAAGUUGAAGUUCAAGAGUUCUUUUACCAAUUUGAUUCGGGGUAGUUUAAAGAUGUCUUAUUAUUUAGAUAUGCUGAAAAUUCUCUUUUUUGGUGUUGAUAAAGAUAGAUCAUACUAACUUGAAUAUGAUCUAUCUUUCUUUAAUUAGUUAUUUGUAUUGACAAUGAAGCUUAUUAAGUUAAUUAUUAAAAAAUAUGUUUUGGUGUU
Long non-coding RNA from Solanum tuberosum (potato), 851 nucleotides. RefSeq lists it as uncharacterized. The transcript has 3 exons. Lineage: Eukaryota; Viridiplantae; Streptophyta; Magnoliopsida; Solanales; Solanaceae. The record is from RefSeq and is a predicted model, not a curated record.